UACGUAGGGGGCAAGCGUUAUCCGGAUUUACUGGGUGUAAAGGGAGCGCAGGUGGUUUAUUAAGUCUGGUGUAAAAGGCAGUGGCUCAACCAUUGUAUGCAUUGGAAACUGGUAGACUUGAGUGCAGGAGAGGAGAGUGGAAUUCCAUGUGUAGCGGUGAAAUGCGUAGAUAUAUGGAGGAACACCGGUGGCGAAAGCGGCUCUCUGGCCUGUAACUGACACUGAGGCUCGAAAGCGUGGGGAGCAAACAGG
Molecule: ribosomal RNA, 252 nt
Filed under: uncultured bacterium
Lineage: Bacteria
Description: partial 16S ribosomal RNA
Rfam family: Bacterial small subunit ribosomal RNA
Source: RNAcentral